This 253-nucleotide ribosomal RNA is filed under the name uncultured bacterium. RNAcentral's name for it is "partial 16S ribosomal RNA". It matches the Rfam family "Bacterial small subunit ribosomal RNA", at positions 524 to 776 of the family's 1533-position model. The record is from RNAcentral.
UACGGAGGGUGCAAGCGUUAUCCGGAUUUAUUGGGUUUAAAGGGUGCGUAGGCGGGAUAGUAAGUCAGUGGUGAAAUCCUACAGCUCAACUGUAGAACUGCCAUUGAUACUGCUAACCUUGAGUAUAGUUGAGGUGGGCGGAAUAUAUCAUGUAGCGGUGAAAUGCGUAGAUAUGAUAUAGAACACCAAUUGCGAAGGCAGCUCACUAAACUAUAACUGACGCUGAGGCACGAAAGCAUGGGGAGCAAACAGG